This 4887-nucleotide unclassified non-coding RNA is filed under the name Mizuhopecten yessoensis (Yesso scallop). RNAcentral's name for it is "uncharacterized LOC110466909, transcript variant X2". The record is from RNAcentral. Lineage: Eukaryota; Metazoa; Mollusca; Bivalvia; Pectinida; Pectinidae.
CAAACUUUCGUCUGCUCGAGCAGCGCACAGGGGUCAGGAAAUGGCUAUUUAAAUCUCAAGCAAAGAUGUCACCAACGAAACUACCUGUAAGGCCAAUAUAACUAACCAGGAAAAUGGCGUCGGGUUCAGACGAUAGUGGGGACCAAAAGCUGACCAAAUGGGAUGUCACCAACGAAACUACCUGUAAGGCCAAUAUAACUAACCAGGAAAAUGGCGUCGGGUUCAGACGAUAGUGGGGACCAAAAGCUGACCAAAUGGGAACGUAAGUAUUAGUUUUAUUUUCAUCGUCAAUCAGUGCUUUCGCCACCAAUACACUACUUGUUUAAAUACAUAAGAUAAUCUCAUAUCACGUACAAAAUAUAUUUGAUUGAGGUCAUAUUAACUAAUUUUAUACAAUAAAUUGCUUGCUAGACAAACACAGUUUUCACAUCACGAUAUUCAUGACAACCUUAUAUAAUAGACUUUUGGACAGUUGAAAUUACGAAAAACAUGAUGAAACAAUCUAAGUUCAUUUAUUUUUACUUUUGUAUCAAUAACUUUCAACGAUACGGUCUUUGAAAAACAAGAUAGAUGUCAUCAUCAUGUAGCUAUUGUGUUACAUGAUUUUCUCAACGGCUUGAAUAUCCAAAAAAGAUCUACAUAAACAAAGAUUUCUGGUUGUUAACGGUCAAAUGAAUACAAAGAAAGAUUACAAGACCGAAAUUAUGACAAAAAGUUUGGCAUAUUCUUAACAUUUGAUGUAAUUAUAUCUAUGUAAGGUUGCAUAGCAAAUGUGUUUAAUAUAAUAUGUAUACAUGCGACAGAUACUUCUAACGUUAGAUUCCUUCUGUUGUUUGUUUCUGUUUUACCUUUUUAACCUUGCUAUGGUCUGUCUGGAUCUCACAACAGAUCAGGAAACCUGCCUUGAUAGAAGGCCUACACCCCAGGAGCUCGGUCGUCUAUCGUACAUGGUCGAUGCGUCCAAAUGUCAGCAACUCUUCAUCGCGCUUGGCCUGUCUCUACCAGAGAUCUCAAACACAGAGCACGAAGCAAGGAGUCUGGCAGCUGUCACUCAGAUAACCAGGAUGUUUUUGAAGUGGACGUACGCCUAUCCUAAUCAAACGUUUCGUCACAUCGAAAUGGCCAUGUCGGAGGCCGACAUGACAACAGACAAUCUCGGCAUGACCGUGGAGACUGGUUGGGAAUGUGUUACUCUAGUCAAUAAUUAGUCAAAAGAGUAAAAUCAGGGGCUGUUUAGGAUUCUUUAAAUCGAAAUGUAAAUGGAGACACGGAAGUCCAGCCAGUGGUAAGAACCCGGAAGGGUUGCGGGUUCGAGUCACGGCACUCCGCUUGUUCCAGUCUACUCAGCUGUAAAAUGACAUGGACUCUGACGAGAAGGGACUCGACAGACAACUAGUCGUCGGUGAAAUAGGGGACCUUGUAGACAACAUAGGCAAGAAUUACUUCAACCUGUUUCUGGAGCUUGGGCUCUCAGUCCCUACCAUAGAGAAGUGUGGAAUGGAUCACAUCAGUGAUAAAAGUAGAGUGGAGAAGCUGACCAAGCUUUGGAUCAACACUUUCCGAGACCAGGCAACCGUUAUCAGGAUUGUGAAGGCAAUGAAACUGUGCAGAAUGGACUGGCACUCAACCGCAAUGGCAUACUGUGUUGCAGACGAGGAGGAGAUUACGGAAUAACCAUGGUGGAGUUGUGCUAUUCUGUAAUGUACGCGGAUACCAGCUACCGACCAAAGAAGCUCGACGUGUUUACCCCUAUGUGUGUGUAUUAACGAGUAUAUAAAUACCGACGCUUGUGAAAGAAACUCAACACAAAAACUUUAAUAUGUAUGUAUGAACGUGAUUUUAAACUGUCUAUAGUGGCACUCUCUGCAGUGACAAAAUUACACGGAUUGGAUUCAAGUAUGGACCUCAAAGAAAUUAUCAAAAUGUAUAUGUAUCAAAUAUAGCUUUAUAAGCUAUGAUGUCCUACGUAAUAUGAUGAAGAUCUCCUUGUUAAAUUCCAAAAAUGAACAACGUUUCAUUUGUCAUCGGAUUCAAGGAUUCAAAUGUAAAAUAAUUCCGAAUAAAUCUAGAGUGGGACACAUUUUCUCCUCCCCAUCACGUUCAGGUUCGAACGUAGGCUAAAAAAUCAUCCGGUACUCGUUUCCCUAUCUAAUUCUUUCUCCUCAAUUGACAAAAGACCUUAAUAUUUGACAUAAAGCACAGUUUUGUUGCGUAUGGAACACAAUUUUUCCUGAUUAUAUUUCAGUGGUUUUGGUAAAAGUUUUUUUUUCUAAAUUGUUCUCCUCUUUCAAGUUUCUUUUUUCACAUUUCUAUUAGAAAAGAUACAGAACAUAUGACUGUAGGUUUUGUUAAAACCUUACUCAGAUGUUAUUUUGUGGUAACUAUGCGGGCUAGAAACGUAGAGAAUCGACCAGAAGUUUCCGAAUGUUCUCGCUAAUAUAAAACUAUCAAGUUCCUCGAAGUUGUAUACUUAUAUCGGACCAACGAGAUAUCUUUAAAAUAAGUGUGACGUCCCAAACAUAACGUAAACUAUCAAUGUAACUAGCGGAUAUUGGUUCGGAGUUACUGAUUUUAUUGAAUAUGCAGGUACGUUAUUAUAUCUUUGUUUCCGUCUAUUUAUGUAGUACUUUAUAGUUACGGAUGAUGUUUAUAAUUGUAUCAUAAAUUACAAAUACAUUCUUUAUUGCUUUACAUUAGUGUUAAAUACCAGUUUAAGUCGUAUGUUAUUGUGCUUAUAAUUUAUACCAGUUCUAUAAAUAGACAACAGAGACCAAGAUCAUAAAUACUUGAUGCUUUACGCAAUCAUGUUUAUUUACACCAUUUUGGCUCAGAUGACACUAAGUGUCUGUAAGUGUAUUAUGUUUUAUAAAGCCCGUUGUCUGCCGGCCGUUCGUCUUUCAGCUGUCUCUUUAAAUUGGUUUUCAUAAGAACUGACAUGCUAAGGGAAAUGAUGUAUUGUUAGCAGCUACUGGUAGAAUCAUGUAUUGUUAAUAUUCACCUUAUUAAAUUACCUUAACGUACGUUCAAUAUCAAAUGGGGCAGACGUGUUAGAAAUUCAACCAACUCUCCUGUAAAGAACCGAAAGAUUUAGAACCAUGGUACUUGGAUAUGUUAUGUAGACCAUAUAAGCAUAUUUUCUAUACUACCUUUUUAGUAAUUUAUUUAAGUCAAAUGUGCAAAAUAUGAAAUACAAAUGUUUCAAUGAGUUAUAAAUCAAUAAAUCAUGUGGUUUUAUGCACCUCCUCUUUUGUGUAAACAGUAGUUAAGAAACAUGUGGAUUUGCUGCUUCUUUGUCACCUAUGAGUCCUAGAAGGACGAAACAGCUAUAAGAUGUAGUGUAAUCAGUUCUCGUAUAUUAUAUACACUGUACUUUCAAAUUACGUUUAUCCUUCCAUAACGCCCAACGUCAUCCUGUCCUAAAAGAAGUACUAUCAGGUGUUUCUCAUAUUUGACAUGUUGUCAUUUUUUUCAAGUUCACCCAGGUCAAAAUAUGAAUAUUUCGAACAGUAUUAUGAAGAUCUAAAAUAGCGAAACCUGGUUUGGAAGUCUAUGAGUGCAUUUUUUUCUCUUUUGAAUUUUGUUGUGUCACCUUUGAUUAAGCUUGUGCAAGAGGGGGAUAUGACCAAACAUAUACCUUGUAUGGAUUCAUAUAACAUGUCAAUAUCAUUUCAUAAAUCAGUAUGUAUAUAUGUAUAAUUUGGUGUCACAAUUUGUCUUUGGAAUUUUGCUAGAUUUUUGAAUAAUAUGAAAUAAGAUAUCAUAAAUUCUGCCUGUUCAGCGAAUUUAUGAUGUAAAUGUAAUACACCUCAUAACACCACAAUAGGAUAUAUUAUUAGUGUAUAUUUAUGUAUGCCAUGGUGUUAUUACACUGCCUACUAUUUGUGUGUAAUAAGACAGUGACUGAAGGCCAGAGCAUGGCGAUAUAGUCAGAACUGUUAGAUGUUGAAGUGAGAAGUCGUAUAUUUUUAUGAGUAUUUGUAUUACUUGAUCAAAAUGCUUGCUAUAACACUAUAAUAUCAGAACUAGUUCGCGUAAGGAAUACCAUAUUUCAUAGUGUAUCGAGGUGUUGCGUAUUGUUACAUAACUAAUCGGAUAAUUUGGGCUUUGGUACAGUUUUAUGUAUAUCACAUGUAUUGCUGAGAAAAGGAAAAGCAACAACCGAGUUGUAGUCGUACCAUCAAAGGAUUUUGGAGGGAUACAGUCACUUAAUAUUUCUUAUUGAUGGAUUAACCAUAUUAAUACUAUGACGAGUAUUUCACUUACCUAUUCAUUAAUGUAUAUGCUGAAAUAACAUGAAUAUCAUGAUUGUGUAUGACAGUUAAACAAGCAAUGCUGGUAAUUCGGUUAACAAAUCUGAAUGAACAUUUAAUCAUGGCUAGAAACGUCAUUUUUGUAUCUUAGUUUUUCUUUUCUCACGCUUGACAAAACGCAUUUAUGAAUUUAAUAAAGUAAUUCGACGUUUACGAUGAAAUUACAUUUUACAGCUGCUAUGACAAAAUAAUUGCUUUUGGUGAAAAUAAAAUACUCGACCUAAAAGGAUGAUACUUUUGAAAAAUUAACACAAAAAGUAAAUAAUAGUUUUGCGGAUAUGCAGUUUAUCUUCAUCUCUGAAGAAAUAUAUUCCUUUGUCAACAUCAGAAGAUUAUGUAAACCUGUUUCCAACACUUUUUAUGUUGUAUUUUCUUUUAUCAUGUGCUAUAACAAAUUGACGAAGUUGCAUUAUGUUGUAAGUUCAAAUGGAUGGUGGUAAUUUGUCAAAUUCGAUUUGGUGUAAAUAUGUUACCACCAACUGAAAUGAUUUACAAAUUGUACGUGUAACUUUGUAAACCACCUGUAUGUUAUAUUGUAUAUGUGUGUUGAUUUUUUAAUAAAUAUAAUUUUAUAUUG